RNAcentral lists this transfer RNA (65 nucleotides) under Octopus bimaculatus (Verill's two-spot octopus). RNAcentral's name for it is "tRNA-Cys". Lineage: Eukaryota; Metazoa; Mollusca; Cephalopoda; Octopoda; Octopodidae. The record is from RNAcentral.
UGGUUUUAUAUUUUAUUAAAAAUAUUAAAUUGCAAAUUUAAAGAUACAUAUUUAGUGUUAAAACU